GAAGCGGCAAAAGCUCAAAUUUGAAAUCUGGCUCUUUCAGAGUCCGAGUUGUAAUUUGUAGAGGAUGCUUCGGCUUACGUUUCGGUCUAAGUUCCUUGGAACAGGACGUCACAGAGGGUGAGAAUCCCGUUUGUGGCCGAGACUUCCGCCAUGUGAAGCUCCUUCGACGAGUCGAGUUGUUUGGGAAUGCAGCUCUAAAUGGGAGGUAAAUUUCUUCUAAAGCUAAAUACCGGCCAGAGACCGAUAGCGCACAAGUAGAGUGAUCGAAAGAUGAAAAGCACUUUGGAAAGAGAGUUAAAAAGUACGUGAAAUUGUUGAAAGGGAAGCGCUUGCGACCAGACUUGCCCGCGGAUGCUCAACCGGUCCUUCGGCCGGUGCACUCUUCCGCGGUCAGGCCAGCAUCAGUUCGAGCGGUUGGAUAAAGGCCUUGGGAAUGUGGCUCUCUUCGGGGAGUGUUAUAGCCCUUGGUGUAAUACAGCCUGCUUGGACUGAGGCCCGCGCUUCGGCUAGGAUGCUGGCGUAAUGGUCGUAAGCGGCCCGUCUUGAAACACGGACCAAGGAGUCUAACAUCUAUGCGAGUGUUUGGGUGUCAAACCCGUACGCGAAAUGAAAGUAAACGGAGGUGGGAAUCUUCGGAUGCACCAUCGACCGAUCCUGAUGUCUUCGGAUGGAUUUGAGUAAGAGCAUAGCUGUUGGGACCCGAAAGAUGGUGAACUAUGCCUGAAUAGGGUGAAGCCAGAGGAAACUCUGGUGGAGGCUCGCAGCGGUUCUGACGUGCAAAUCGAUCGUCAAAUUUGGGUAUAGGGCGAAAGAC
RNAcentral lists this ribosomal RNA (814 nucleotides) under Neohelicomyces aquaticus. RNAcentral describes it as "partial large subunit ribosomal RNA". It matches the Rfam family "Eukaryotic large subunit ribosomal RNA", at positions 95 to 931 of the family's 3401-position model. Lineage: Eukaryota; Fungi; Ascomycota; Dothideomycetes; Tubeufiales; Tubeufiaceae. The record is from RNAcentral.